UUUUUGGGUACAUUGUUGUUCUGCCUGUUGUUCCUUGCAAUUAGAAGAAAACAUAAAUCAGAAUAACAUUUUUGGAUUGAAACCCCACUUUGCCCUGACCGGCUCCGUCUCCAACCACUUCCCCCAAAUCCCGGCGCCGCCGCCGCCGCGAGAAUCUCUCCAUCCACUCCCCCGAGUCCCCAGGAUGGCUCGUCUCGGCUCCACGACCGGGAACGGCGCGGCCAUGGUCGGUCGACAGCCCGCGCUGGCUCCUCGGCCAAGCGAGGCGGCUUGGGGGCGCCUCGGCCGCUGAGGCUCGCCGGUGGAGGCGCAGGGCGGCGGCGGCCCUCCUCUCCCUGCGGAUUCCUUCACGGCCGGACCGCCCCGACGUCCACGCCGGGCGGUGUACAAGGCCAAGGGCCGCCACGACCUCGACAUGAUCGUGGCAUACAAGCUUCGCCUCGAGCAGGAUCAUCUCCUCCCUUCCUUCCUCAAGGAGACCAGGUGCCGUUUCGCUCUUUCUGCAUGACGGAAGGACUGUGCACUCAAGGUUCAGGAUACCGCUGGCUAUUAGUUUGUGACAUAAAAGAUAGAUGGAAUUCAACGCUCUCUCUGAGCUUAAAGUUGGCACCGCUUGUUGCAUUGUCUGUGCCUAUGUUUCACGACUGUGGCACCAUCGCGGUGCAACAGAUACUGGUCCUAUUAAACAUACUGAAUGGUCUUGCUUGACAAUAUGGGAAACCACAUCUAUGCAGAGUUUUCAGAGAAGGUUGUCCACCAGUUCAUAGAUCUUAUUUAAGGAAUCAUGGUAUAUGAGCUUAGGAAGUUCUUUGUGCUCUCAAGGAAGUAUCUAUUCAGGCCUCUUGAGGGGAUCUUGCAUGAUCAAGAUCACUUCGUUCACUACUGCUUUCACAAGGCCUGGCAUUGAGCCAGACUUCCUGUUCUGUACGCUUUAACUCCGCCGGCUCAGCUCCCUGGUCCAACUGACAUGCCUGAAAAGUUCACAGAGGCAAGCAAACCAGUGUGGUGGUCAUAUGGCCUUGAAGUUUGCUGCUGAUGAAGUUAUUGAACUGGGCAAGAAAGAACCGGUCAUUGCUAUGUUUGUUGGGACGCUGUUCAAGAAAUAGGAAGGUCGUAGAGGUGUAACUGGAAGUGCUGCGUGUCGCUGGUACAUUAAUGAAGAUUUGCAGACAUAAGAUUGUUCAGCAGAAGGAAAGCAACUUAUCUUUAUUGAAGGCCGAAGGGGCAUAUAUAUAUUACACAUGACUUGAGGUGUAAGGAACUAAACAUAGACUAAUAAGGACUCCUAGACCAAUACUAAUACUCCUUAACACCCCCCCUCAAAUGCAAGCGUAUGCAAUAGCAUUGCAUUUGAAGAAGUGUAAUACUAAAAAAAAAUGAUAAUCCAAAUCCGCAUCUUGAGAGUGUCGUCGUAGUAUGAAGAGUCUUCAAAACCUGUCGAGUCGCCAAAGGGGAUAACGAAGAGAUGGCACAUCAAAGAAAGACACCACAUCGAUAGAAGAUACAAGAGAAGUAUCAAGAGAAGAUGGGUUGUCAAAAGAAGAUGGCACAUCAAGAGAAUGAAGCAUUGCUUAAAGAAUCAUGGCCCAUGAAAACCGACGGCGAAAGAAGCUCGGCGGCAAGAGAAUGAGCUUAGAUCGACAAUGCAAAGAGAGGCCACAGAAAUCCUAUACAGAGGACAAUGACCAGAAAAAAAAAGGCUGACAGACAUAGGUAUGGUGGACUCACAUGACAUGAGAAAACACAAAAUAUCAACGGAUUUGGUGGACGCAGCGGAAACUAUAGAAAACUAGGAAGAUAAAAAAAACACAUGAAGUAGAUACGAUGGCAGCGAAAGAAAAAAUCAUGGUGCCGAGGGCCAAGACCAAGCAGAGCUCCCGUGUUGCGCUCCUGACUGUGAAGAGGGCCAAGCAGAGCUCCCGUGUUGUGUUCCUGACUGUGAAGAGGGCCAAGCAGAGCUCCCGUGUUGUGCUCCUGACUGUGAAGAGGGUGGUCUCUCUGAGCUAGAAGAGUCAACAACAAGACCAGCAGAACCUGGUGAAGAAGAACCCGAAGCUGCAAGUAGACGCUUAAGUCGCACAAUAUCCUGCUCAGUCAGGGACACUGCUGAAGGGGUCGGAAUAGAAGCACAAGUCCCUGAAGAAGAUAUGCGCCCCUGGCGCAUGUGCCGCUUCUUCAGAAAGCACUCAGACUCGGGAUGACCAUCCUUGUUGUAGUAGUCGCAAUGAGAACGAGAGCGGCCCUCACCACUAGGAGAAGUGGGCAGGAGUGGCAGAGCACUGGAGCGUGAAAGAGGCGGUGUAGUAGAAGCUCGAGCAGCAAGCACAGAGGGAACCUCAAGUAAACCGGCACCACGUAGGCGAGUCUCUUCAGCCCGAAUCUCAGAAAGCGCCUCCAUAAGAGUAAUACGACCAUGGGCAAACAACUGAGCACGCCGUGGCUCAAAUUCUGGACUAAGUCGAGACAAGAACUCAUAGACGCGAUGAAACUCCAAGUCGGCCCGCACAGCUUGGCAACACUGACAAGUACGACAACCAGCAGUGCGAAGGGAGUCAAGCUGGCGCCAAAUGGCAGAACUCUGUGUGUAGAAAUCAUCAACAGUGGAGUCACCCUGCUGAAGAGCAUGCUCCUGGCGAACCACAGAUAGAUACAAGGCAUCACCGGAGGGUUGAUAGCGCUGACAAAAAUAUGUCCACAUUGCAAAGGCGGUAGCGAGGCCCAUAAAGUCAGAGGCAAACUGAGGCAAAACACUGGAAGUGAGAACAGCUGCAGCACGAGCAUCAUCAUCAGACCACUGAGUGUAACCAGCUAGAGCAUCACGGUAAAAGUGAAGGGCCUCCUCAUAGGUCAAAACCUGUUGCUCAUAGGCACGAGUUGCAGACUCAUCAGCAAGCUUAGCAGCAUCCUUAGCAGCCUGAGGAGCAUCCGCAGCAAGGGACGAUGGCGUCGGCGGAGUAGGAGCCACGGGAGGAACCGGGCGCGGCGGACAAGAGACCUCGCCAGACAGAACACCCCAGAGACGAAUACCACGCAUAUGAAUGCGGAAGAAGCCAACAAACUCACUGUAGUUUGUACCAUCAAAAACCACCGGGCAACGGGGAACGACGACAUAGCCUGAUGACAUCGUACUUUUUUUUUUACUCAAAGCAAACCAGCCUUAGAUGGAAGCAACACCGCGGCCGGCGGCGGAAUAUGCAGACGAACAAGCAGAACAGACCCUCACGUGGUUUGUAGGAGCAACCUAACAGCAGCAGUAGGAAAGCUAGCUGCAGGCGCAAGAGACGAACACGCACACGAGAUCAGGGCCCUCACGUGAACGUGGCUCGUAGCACCCGUACUAGCCAGCCAACAAAGUCAAUGGAGGCAGUCAACCAAUGGGAGAUCCUCGUCCACUACCUAAUCCUGUAGAAGACGAGGCACCGCGAUCUGCUAACGGCGGAACAACGGCAGCCGGCGGCGGAAUCCGACUGGAGAUCACGACAGACUGCGGCCGGCGGCGGGAUUCGGCUGGAGGACAGCAGAUCGGCGCGACCAGAAGGAGAUGAGCAGCAUAAAAGCUAGCAGCAGCCAGACAUGAGCAGAUCACGUCAGCAAGGAGAUAGGAUCGAGGAAAAAUACGAGAUCGAUACGGAACCGAUCAGUACGAGCACGAGUUGCGGCGUGCGAGAAAAAAAUAACCUAGGCUCUAAUACCAUGUUAGGAAAGCAACUUAUCUUUAUUGAAGGCCCAAGGGGCAUAUAUAUAUUACACAUGACUUGAGGUGUAAGGAAACUAAACAUAGACUAAUAAGGACUCCUAGACCAAUACUAAUACUCCUUAACACUGAUGUGGCUCGUUUCUACUAUUAUCCGGUUUACAUGGUGCCCCACUGGUAAUAGAACGAACCCAUUUUCUAGGGCAGGGGCUGCUGCCAAGGUCGACGCACAAGUCAAUUUACAAACAAAACCAGUUCAGGAAUUGCUUGACCUCGAUUUGUUUGAAGACCAGGAUGUCCACUUCUUCUGCACUUUCAUCGUUAUGGGGCUUAGUCCUAGCUACCCAGUGAUGGUGGUUCUGUUUUUGCAGCAUGCCAUAAGUCGUCAGCGCCUUGUGCAGCUGCGUAUAAGUGCUCAGACCCUGACUGCAAUGGGAUGGAUGCGUUCCUAGGUACCGGAUAUAUGCUACCCGGUCCAUGAUGAUGGUUCCGAGGCCAAGUUUGUUCUCUUCGACACGGUCCAGUAUUGCUUUGUCGUGUUGAUCCCCAAUAAGUGUUAUCUAAACGAGCAAGAGUCCAGCAGCAUCCAGGAGUGGUUCAUGUAGCUGUGUUGUUUCUCUUCUAGCUGAUGAUGUCAGUGAUACUUUGCAAGGAGAUAUGUCGCCUUCACAUGGACUUGCUGCUGUUCAGAAAACUGAAGACAUCCCCACUCCGGGUCUGACCACGACACCACCUCCUAAGGGUGGAUAGGAGACACCUCAUUCCGCUUCAAAAACAGUUGGACUCUAGGUAUGUAUAAAUUCACUGAACGGAAUGGUCGCCUUCAUAGCUUGACCACAUUUGUUCUGACAUGCAUGUUGUGCAGCCAUGGUGCUUCUCCUAUCAAGAAAAUAGUUACAGUUUUGAGAUGCUCUUUGUCAGGAAAAUUCAAUUAUUAUUCAUGUCAAAAUCUCAUUUGGGACAGCAUGUCAAAAACCUUAAAGCUGAACCAAAAGUGCAAUUCUAUACUUGGCUGUCAAUCUAAAACCGUAACUGGACUGCAGAUAGACGUAAAAACAGAUGGCCCCAUGAUGGCAACUGCGUCCUCUGUGAUCAGUCCAGUCGAAACGGCUGCCCAUCUCACACACUACAUUGCCCUUUUGCCAAAGAGGUGUGAAAGCGGAAUCAUCUUUCUGACCCCGGUUACUCCAUGUCCAACAUUGCGUUGCAGGCCAUGCACAUCCGUGAAGAAAUGGUGAAGCUACUCUGCUCACAUGGCGAGGAAAACUAGGAAAAAAGACUCAGGCUGUCACUUAGUUAUAUGGUUGUUGCCUGUAAUAUUUCGAAAGAGCGAGACGGGAGGCUCUUUGAAGGAAAAUAGAGCACCACAUCACUCGGAGCUGCUGAACUUGUCCGAAGCGACGUCGCUCUUCUUUAAGAUGCUUGCCAGAGCUAAUUUAGGUCAUUGUACAGCGAAGUGCCAUCUUAUCUUGGCUGGUUCGAUUGUUUAGCCUUUUGUUUCCUGAUCUUUACCCUGUAAAAGGAUUGUAAUUCCGCCUUCUCAAUGCCAAGCCCCUCUUUGACAGUCCUGGUC
Molecule: long non-coding RNA, 5267 nt
Organism: Triticum aestivum (bread wheat)
Lineage: Eukaryota; Viridiplantae; Streptophyta; Magnoliopsida; Poales; Poaceae
Exons: 11
Source: RefSeq, a predicted model, not a curated record